UAAUACAUGUUUAUUGUCCUGGGCAUCUGCACAAUGUUGGCCUGGGCUUGGAAGCCACAGCUUGGUGCUCUGAGCCCAGAUGAACUGUCCACCUGACCCACAAGGGACUCACAGUCAAGGGCCGUGGACCCCAGCAGGCUGAGUACCAACUACACCCAUGUCACCCUUUCACUCAUUUCCUUGUCAAAUUUUAACUGAGCACCUGCUAAAUUCAGCCUCAACCCAGGGGCCAAGGAGAGACGUAACCAAGGCCUGGUCCCAGGGUGUUCUGGAACCCACAGUGACCCUGGGAGGCACCAAGCACUCUCCUCUCUGGGAGAGGCAUCUGCUCUUAUCCUACAGAACACAGCCGAGGGGCAGCUGGCCCUGCAGGACCUGGGUAAGGCCUCCCAGGAGAGGCAGUCGCUGAACCUGGCCCUGACCAGGCCUCUCCAGGCUGGAAUGUGGAGAGGGUGUUCCAGGCGAGAGAACAGUGCGUGCCAGGAGCAGACUCAUACAGCCUGGCUUGACCCCCACGGUGAUGACAGGGUACCCAGGGCCAGCAAGGAGAGAUGGGCGUGGAGAGGCCACGCAGCCAGGGAUUGGACUGGACCCACGGCUGGCAGAGGUCACUGUGAGGCCUCUCUGCUUGUUUCACUGUACGCAGAGUGAGGAGUCUGGGCAAGCGCUGAGCGCUGGGCCUUUUGGGGUGGGGUUGCCUCUGUGCCGACGCAGGACACGUGGCGGGCAGGACUGGCCCUCUCACCUGGCAGAAAGCUCUGCCAAGGGUGAGCCCGGCCUCUCCACAUCUCCUGACCUGCCAUGUGACAGGCCGCUCCCCUGCCCCUCACCUGGCCACGGGCAUUCCUGCGGUUGGCAAGGCCCUUGCGCCAACAGUUUGUUUUUGUGUGUCCCCCACACCUGGGUGUGGCCGUCUUCUCCACCUCCCGAGGCUGCAGGUGCACAGAAAGGUUCCCAGCCAUGGGAGGCGGGGCGGGUGGCGCCUCACAUCAUGCUCCCAAAAUGCCCCACCUCUCCCCUCUCCGCCCUCUUGAGGAAGAGGGCAGAUGGCAGGUGCAUCUCUAGCCCCAGCAUGUGAGCUUGGGACCUGCCCAUCUGGACUCUUCUCCUUAAGGGGUAGCUGGGAGCAAGACCCCUGAGGGGCCCGGGGAAGGGAGGCAGGUCCUGAUACCCUUUCCCAUCAGUCUUCCUACCCGAGAGAGCCCAGGGACACACAGUGAGUGAGGCAACUGGGGAGGUGGCAUGUCCCUGUGUUCCACGUGGGAGCCUGUGGUCGAGUGGGUGCCAGUCGGAGAUAGUCUCUGCAGUGGAAGAAGCCCCUCGGUGCCCAGAUGUGGCCAAGGUGCCCCAGCCCGUGCCAGAGGGGCCUUGGAGCCGGCUGGUGUGGUCCUAAGAGAAGGAAGGCUUUCCCGAGGUGACACACCUCCCAGGGUGACACCUGCCCUGGCGCCCCUGGUCCCGCCUCCACCUUGGCCCAGACCUUUCCAGACAAUAUGCUCGGACCCUCCUGGGGUCCUGUGAUCCCACCCAGAUGUUUGGAAUGGGCCUGGAGUCCAGCCUUCAGUCCUGUCUGAUGGAGGAGGCCAGGACAGUCUUGGGCCCGUGGCCUCCCCUUCCCAGGAGCACCAGGCUGGCGUCUGCACCUGGAGAGGCUCUGCUUUCCUGAGAACCAAGGGCUGGUGGAGUCAGGUUGCAGUGGCCUUGGGGGAGGGGGGUAGCUCAGCUGGCAGCGCCCUGGGAGGCUGCGAGCCUCAGGCUUAGGUAACAGCGCCAACCCCUCCCUCCUCUGCAGAAAGGGAAGCUGGGUGAGGUCAGCUGGGAGCCAGAGAGGCUGUGG
This 1837-nucleotide long non-coding RNA is filed under the name Marmota monax (woodchuck). Lineage: Eukaryota; Metazoa; Chordata; Mammalia; Rodentia; Sciuridae. The record is from RNAcentral.